CUCUGGCUCUCGUGCCUUCCCCAGACAUCUCACACAGCCGCCGCCGCCGAGGGUUAGGGUUUGUGGCCGGAGAUCCCUCGAUUGGAUUGGAGCGGCCGGCGCGGCGUGGUCGAAUCGAAUCGAAGAGAAGCGAUAGAGAUGGACGCGCAGCGUGCUCUGCUGGACGCGCUGAUGGGGUCGUCGCGGGACCUGACGGAGGAGGAGAAGAAGGAGCACCGGGAGGUGGCGUGGGACGACCCCGACGUGUGCGCCCCCUACAUGGCCCGCUUCUGCCCCCACGACCUCUUCAUCAACACCAAGAGCAACCUCGGAGUAUGCCCAAAGAUCCACGACCCGGCCCUAAAGCAAAGCUUCGAGUCCUCCCCCCGCUACGCCGCCGUCCUCCCCAAAUUCGAGGCUGACCUCGCCCACCGCUGCGAGAGGCUGGUCCAGGACCUGGAUAAGAAGAUCAGGCGCGGCCGCGACAGGCUUGCGCAGGACGUCGUGGAGGUGCCGCCCCCCGCCGCCCAUGCCGAGAAGGUCGAGCAGCUCGCCAUUCUCGAAGACAAGAUCAAGAAGCUGCUCGAGCAGAUUGAGCAGCUCGGCGACACCGGCAAGAUCGACGAGGCCACUGCGCUCAUGAGGAAGGUGGACAUUCUCAACCUCGAGAAGUCGGCUCUGACCCACCAGAUAGAGACCAAGCUCUCCAUGGUCCCGCAAGAGAAGAAGAUGGAGCUCUGCGAGCAGUGCGGCUCCUUUCUCGUCACCAACGACGUCCUUGAGAGGACGCAGUCCCAUGUCACCGGCAAACAACACAUUGGUUAUGGUCUGGUCAGGGAAUUCCUCGCCGAAUACAAGGCUGCGAAAGAAGCGGAGAAGCUUGCAAGGGAGAAGGAAGCAGAGGAGCGUCAGAACCGGGAGAGAGGAUACCAUAACAGAGGCCACCGCGACGACUAUAGGGAGAGAUCCAGGGAGCAUGACCGUGACCGCUACUAUGAGCGAGGAAGCCGUGACAGAGAGAGGCCCUAUGAGCAGGGAGGUAGAGGGUCAGACUAUAGAGGCGGUUCCUAUAACAGCCGCAGGGAUUCUGAAAGGGCGAGGCCCAGAGAUAGGAACGGUGGUGAUUUUUCAAGAAGAGGAGACCCGGGGAGGGUGAGGAGCAGGUCCCGGUCUCCAGGCAGGCAUGGUUAUUAAUCAUUUCAAGUUAUAUGAGACUCAUGAGGUAGACCAUUAUGCUCCUUUGCUUAUUCAUUCAGUCACAAUGUCUGAGUGUUGUCAUGAUUAAAUUUAAACCUUACUCUGCUCUAGCAGCUCUUUGUUGAAACCAUACCCCUAUGGUCUUCCUUUUAUUAUAGAGAGGAUAAAAAACAGAGGAAGUCUAGGAACUGAGAAAAUGUUGUUUGAUAUGAUAAGAGCUGAAAGCCGUAUGAUGAUACUAUCAUCCUAUCCUAUCCUAGGCAGGUAUUCCGUAACCUCUGUCUGUCUUACAUGUUAAAAUGAUUGAUUGAUUGAUGACAUACAAGGUUUGGUUAGGACCUGGAAGAAACACUAGACAGGUAACCUCCAUCUUAUACAUGUUAAAAUGAUUGAUGAUAUAUACAAGGUUGGGUCGGACCGGACCUGGAAGAAACAGUAGGAAGGUAACCCGUAACCUCCAUCUUAUACUACAUGUUAAAAUGGUUGAUGAUACGACCUGGGAGAACAGUAGGAAGGUAACCCGUAACCUCCAUCUUAUACUACAUGUUAAAAUGGUUGAUGAUACGACCUGGGAGAACAGUAGGAAGGUAACCCGUAAUCUCCGUCUUAUACAUGUUAAAAUGAUUGAUGAUAUAUACAAGGCUGGUUCGGACCGGACCUGGAAGAAACAGUAGGAAGGUAAUCCGUCACCUCUGUCUUGCAUGUUAAAAUGGUUGAUGAUACGACCUGGAAGAACAGUAAGCAGGUAACCCGUAACCUGUCUUGCAUGCUGAAUUGAUGACGUAUGGAAGGUUGGGUGGGACCUGGAAAAUUCAGGUAACAUUAUAGUAGAGCGGUUUCUGAAUGCCUAGUCUUGUACGUACAAGAUUUAAUUUGCACUGCCAGUACAGAUUCUGUGUACUGCGCCAGGCCUUUCUUCUUGACAGAUUUUAAGAAAUGACAUUGACUAGUAUCUGCAGUAGGUGUAUGGUACAAUCGUUAAACACGUGGAUUAUUAGGUGUGAUAUGAUGAAAAUUACUAUCGUACAGGGUUGGGUAGGACCUGGAAGAAACAGUAGGCAGGUAACCCGUAACCUCUGUCUUGCAUGUUAAACUGAUGAUGAUAUAUGCAAGGUUGGUUUGUUUAGGACCUGGAAAAUUCAGGUUAACAUUAUAGGAUAUAUGCAAGGUUUCUGAAGGCCCAGUCUUGUACAAGAUUUAAUUUGCACCGCCAGGCAUUUCUUGUCGACAGAUUUUAAGAGAUGACAUUGACUAGUAUCUGCAGUAGGUGUAUCGUACAAUCGUUAAAACACGAGGAUGGCCGACAUUGGGAUUUCUUUCAGUCUAGGAACUGAAAAAUUGUUGUGCGAUAGAGCUGAACGUCUUGAGAUGAUGAUAGCACUAUCAUAUCAUCCUAGGCAGUGCAGUGCAGGUAACCCGUAACCUCUGUCUGUCUGUCUGUCUGGCUUGCAUGUUUAAUAAUUGAAGUUGACAUAGAUACAUGGCUGGGUAAGGAGGGGACCUGGAAGAGUGAUUUUUUGGCAGAAGAACAAGAGGAUUGGAUGGUCAACUUGGGACUUGUUUGGUACAUCAACCAGAAGAAUGAAUUCCAGUGAGUGUUGUUGGCCGGUGCAUGCCACAGAGAUGAAUGCUACUCCCUCCGUUCCACAAUACAUGCCUUCCCUCUGUCAAAAUAUAGAUGUAUCUAGACAUGUUUUAGUAUAUAGGUACAUUCAUUUUUGGACAAAUGAAAAUCAAGUAUUUUGGAACGGAGGGAGUAGAUUUCAAUUACUUUCCAGUGAGUGUUGUUGGCCGGUGCAUGCCACAGAGAUGAAUGCUAGAUUUCAAUUACAGAAUCACCCUUUUGGGCGUCGAGAAUUCUGCUCGACGGUUGAGAGUUGAAUUUGAGCUUUGAGCGGACUUGAAACGUUUUGGAGUAUGUUCAAGUUGUAUUUUCUGUUCUCGCAAACACAGGCGUACGUACCAAGUGACGUGCGAUGUGAUUAUAUAUACGUAUAUAGAAACAGGCUUGAAACAUUUUCUGGCGGUA
Triticum aestivum (bread wheat) is the source of this 3205-nucleotide RNA transcript. It is a transcript of the gene named luc7-like protein 3, with no coding region annotated. NCBI's taxonomy places the organism in Eukaryota, Viridiplantae, Streptophyta, Magnoliopsida, Poales, Poaceae. The record is from RefSeq and is a predicted model, not a curated record. The transcript is spliced from 7 exons.